RNAcentral lists this ribosomal RNA (377 nucleotides) under uncultured bacterium. Its description in RNAcentral is "bacterial SSU rRNA". It matches the Rfam family "Bacterial small subunit ribosomal RNA", at positions 523 to 898 of the family's 1533-position model. The record is from RNAcentral.
AUACAGAGGGUGCGAACGUUGCUCGGAAUUACUGGGCGUAAAGCGCGUGUAGGCGGACAGCCAAGUCAGGCGUGAAAUCCCCGGGCUCAACCCGGGAACUGCGUCUGAAACUGGUUGUCUCGAGUGUCGGAGAGGGCAGCGGAAUUCCUGGUGUAGAGGUGAAAUUCGUAGAUACCAGGAGGAACACCGGUGGCGAAGGCGGCUUCCUGGACGAUUACUGACGCUGAGACGCGAAAGCGUGGGGAGCAAACAGGAUUAGAUACCCUGGUAGUCCACGCUGUAAACGAUGAGUGCUAGGUGUCUCGGGUAUUGACCCCUGAGGUGCCGUAGCUAACGCGUUAAGCACUCCGCCUGGGAACUACGGCCGCAAGGCUAAA